RNAcentral lists this transfer RNA (16 nucleotides) under Parahucho perryi (Japanese huchen). RNAcentral describes it as "partial tRNA-Thr". The record is from RNAcentral. Lineage: Eukaryota; Metazoa; Chordata; Actinopteri; Salmoniformes; Salmonidae.
GCCCUAGUAGCUCAGU